UACGUAGGUCCCGAGCGUUGUCCGGAUUUAUUGGGCGUAAAGCGAGCGCAGGUGGUUUAAUAAGUCUGAUGUAAAAGGCAGUGGCUCAACCAUUGUGUGCAUUGGAAACUGGGAGACUUGAGUGCAGAAGAGGAAAGUGGAAUUCCAUGUGUAGCGGUGAAAUGCGUAGAGAUAUGGAGGAACACCAGUGGCGAAGGCGACUUUCUGGUCUGUAACUGACACUGAGGCGCGAAAGCGUGGGGAGCAAACAGG
This 252-nucleotide ribosomal RNA is filed under the name uncultured microorganism. Its description in RNAcentral is "partial 16S ribosomal RNA". It matches the Rfam family "Bacterial small subunit ribosomal RNA", at positions 524 to 776 of the family's 1533-position model. The record is from RNAcentral.